AGAGAAGGAGCGUGCAAGUGAGAGGAGCUUCACUUUCUCAUGUGGGUGAAGUGAGAACUACGUCCCUCCUUACUUUUUGUGAAUUUAUUCAAAGUUUCCAUGGCCUGUGAAACAAGGAAAGGAUGACGUUACUAUCAACAUUUGCCAGGGAUCAUUCUGAGUAACAGUUCGGAAGAAGCACAAGUUCAUGACUCAUUCUUUUUUACCCGUGAAAUAUUGUACAAGUUGAUGACUUGGUGCAGAUGAAGGCUAAUACACACCUCCACAGGUGAGACGUGAACAGCCAAUUUAAUGAAUUAUUCUAAUUAGUUCAGGUUCUGUGGACUCGGCUGUAUAGCUGGACUGCAUGCUUAAUAUAAUCUAGCAAAGCAGUGAAAGCCAAAAUUCAAGUCCAACAUCCCUUUUAUUGAAAUCUGUCCUUGGUCCCAACUUAAAUACCAAGAGAUGAUUCCUGUCUGAAGCUGGCUACUUCUGUAAGUUCCUCUUAGGCUGUGGAUAUUUACAGAACCUUUUCUUUCUUUGAACACCUGUGUCCUAGAAAGACACAAAAAAAACCCACCCUACGUUUUCCAGAUACAUAUUUUUUCCUUCCCCCCCCCCCCCCAUUCCCCAUUGCCAACACUUACGCCAAGAAGACCCCCAGCAGCAUGGGCAGUGGACUCCACUGGAGGGAGCUUGAGGAUGAGUUGGCACCCACCUUACCACAGCAGCAUCCCUCUCUGGGGUACAGCUGUCAGAACAAGUCUUUCUCUCCAACACCUAUUCUUCCCUUGGUAAUUUAGUUAUUGCACAUACAUAGAAGACAAAAUCUGAAAACCAACUAGCCAAUGAACAUGCUGGGUCUGGUCUGGUGGUUGGCAACCCUGUCCACAGCAGGCGGGUUGAAACCAGAUGAUCUUUGAGGUCCUUUUCAAGCCAGACCUUUUUAUGAUUCCAUGAUUCUGUGAAAUAGUAAUGAAUAAGUACAGAAAGUCUUCCCAGAAUUCUUCUUGGCCAUAUCUCCCAUUUCUUUGACACUUAAACUUUCUUGAUGCCUCAUGAAUCACAGCCCUGACUCCUGUUGUUAUUCUUUUGAAGCACCUUGGUGUUGCAUGUCUGAGGUCCAGCAUUUGCCGUGGGAUGAGAUGAGAGCCAUGGCAUACAGAUGAGUUAAGAGGUUCUUGGUUGGCAUCUUCCCUCAAGACGGUACCUCUCUUAUUUUUUUAGCUAUAAAAUCUUUUGGUUGCAAAGCAGAAGCUGCAGCUUCCCGGUGAUCAUUGCAGUCAUUUUUUCUAGGUGCCCAGGGGUGAUGCUCUUAUACUCAAAGUGAAAUGGCUGUUGACGGUUUUUUCUCUAUGCAUCCCCUGUUCGUCAUCAGUGUGACGUCUGAGUAUGGCUGCCACCCUGCAUGAGCUCGGAGGGAUUUCAGCCUAUUUCAGUAAAGUUCUUGUCUCCUUCUCUGCACACCCCAGAAGCUGGAAAACUGCAGAUCCAGCUUCUUUGGAGAAAGCAUGCAACAACAAGAAGCAGAGUGUUGCAUACUAAGGUUCUGUAAUUUCUGCAAAUUGGCUUUACGGGUCACUAAACAGUGAUAGAAGAUUUGUGUGCUAGGACCCACCUGAAACAGAAAUGCUUUGUGGAUGCAUCUGCUUUCUGGCUUUGAGUAUCGUGGUGGAGUUGUGGCCUCCUCUUCUCUGAAGAAAAAGAAGACGACUGCAUUUGUUUACGUAUGUGCAUUCAUCAUUUGUAAGAAACCCAGAUGUUAAAACACUUGCACAUCCCUGCAUAAAUAAAUAACAAAUAAGGGCACGGUUUCUGAAUUUAGGAUGCCUUUUUAGUGCACAUUCUCAAAGGAUUUCUCUUUUCCGAGUAUAAAGCACUGUUUCUUUUGAAAAAAAGAAAAUCAACACGCACCAUAAAUGACAACUUGUUAUAGAUGUAAAUAUUAAUUAUACAUUGAAAUUCUGGAACUGUUUUUACUAGAAGCUUGUUAACUUGUUAAUUAUCAUAAUUAUCAUACAAGGGGAAAGGGAAAAGAGGGAGAGAGAGACUGAUUAGUGUUGGUAAUUUGCCUCAUCCUUUCUGUGUUGUUGCUUUUUUUUUUUUUUUUUUCAUUUUGGGAAAAUUAAUUCUGUGAAAUUAUCACUAGGGUGCUGUGCUCCGGGACACGUCUGUACGAUGCGGCAUUGUUCUGGCAGAAUGCAGACUUAAUUCAUGCUUGGCACCUUUCCUGUCUAUCCCUUCCUUGCCACGUUCGGGUCUGCCACGCUUGGGCAACACCAUAUCAUUCUCUCAUAACAAUAACAAUGAAAAAGUAAAGGCGGGGAUAGAUAUGCAGAGCUCCUGAAACCUCAGGCAAAUAUAAGCAGGAGAAUAAAAGAAAAUGGCGGUGUUUUAGUUACAGUUGAAUAGGGGGAAAUUACCCAUAGGAGAUAUAAGGCUGUUGGUUGAUACCACAAGGAACCUGACAUCCUUAAUAUUUAGGAGCAUCCUUAGAGAAAAAUUCCACCUCUUGCUAUCCUUAAUGUACUCUUUUUAUCUCUGUUGGCACCCGUAUGUGUUGGAAGGCCCUGGUUCCUGAGAGAGGAGCACAAAAAUAAUAGACCCACCAUAACAUCUGCUCAUUGAAAUGCUCUUAUCAACUCUGAGAUAGGAAACAAAAGAUGAGUUUAAAUGUCUAUAGCUCAUCAUGGCAAAAAUUUGCUUUUGGGUUAUUUAAAAUUUCAUCCUACCUCAUGGGUUGCUCAGGAUAUUCAGUUGAGAUAUGGAAAAGGUGGCUGUGAACCCACCACACCCACAGGGAUAUAGAAUUAGUCACAUUCUGAAAAGGCUGUGAGAAACUUCAGAGGCACCUAAUCCAACUAGAUGAAUGGGUGACACGGUGUCACACAAAGUUCAGCUCUGCUCAGACAAAGUGUUGCACGCUGAAGGAGAGAAAAAUUGGAUGUGCUCGUAUGGCUCACAAGGCUCUCAAUUACAUGUGGGGGCUUGGGAAAGGCAGCUGAGUUUCACUGUGGAUGGCUCAAUGAUCAUUUGGAUGUAGAGCACAGCUCUAAUUUAUUGGUCAGGCAAGGUGUUAGACUGCACAAGGAAUAGGAUAGAGAAUAAUGCAUGAAACACAAGCAAUUAAUAAUGUAAGUCAAUGAUGCAUUCGCAUUUGGAAUAACAUACACAGAACCGGUCACCCAAUACUCCCAAUUUUUACAAGAAGAUGGCACUAAAGCAAGACAGAGUUCUGAGAGAGGUGACAGGAAUGGAAAAGAAUAUGUUAAAUGUCCCAUGUGAGAAGAGACUGACAAGACCAGACAAUUUACCUUUAAAAAUGGCAAAAAUGUGUUAAUAAGGUAUGAAUAUUUGAAUAUUUGUUGUGAUAUAAAGAUAGCAAAUAGAAAGCCUAUUUGACUGGUGUUACAAUUCAGGGUGAAAGUGGAGUAACUAACGUGAAAAAGUAGCUAUUUCAGAGCUGAUGAGAAAAAGGAAGCACUUAGCACACAUAUCAUUGGCCUUGCUGCCACCAGACAUUGGUUCCUUAGCAUGUAGCUGCAAAUAGCAUGGCACAGCAGGAGCAGGCUCACAGAGCAAAUGGCUGGAGCUGAGGACCCUCUAUCCACACUACACGAGUCCAGAGGCUGGGCUGGACCUACUCUGAUCCCAUCAGCAGCAAAAUUCCACACCAAGAGCUGAACUGUAGCACAUGGGGACUGUGGGCAGAAGUGCUUCAAAAGCACAGCUCAGAUCUAAACUGAAAGGCUCAUGUAGGUUUACUGUUUGAGCCUGAGAAUGUACUAAGAGUCAGUGUGGGGCUUGACAUUUGUACUGUGUAACAAGAAUAAACAGAAUUACAUUAA
Gallus gallus (chicken) is the source of this 3827-nucleotide long non-coding RNA. RefSeq lists it as uncharacterized. The transcript is spliced from 2 exons. NCBI's taxonomy places the organism in Eukaryota, Metazoa, Chordata, Aves, Galliformes, Phasianidae. The record is from RefSeq and is a predicted model, not a curated record.